GAUGAACGCUGGCGGCGUGCUUAACACAUGCAAGUCGAACGGAAAGGCCCAAGCUUGCUUGGGUACUCGAGUGGCGAACGGGUGAGUAACACGUGGGUGAUCUGCCCUGCACUUCGGGAUAAGCCUGGGAAACUGGGUCUAAUACCGGAUAGGACGAUGGUUUGGAUGCCAUUGUGGAAAGUUUUUUCGGUGUGGGAUGAGCUCGCGGCCUAUCAGCUUGUUGGUGGGGUAUUGGCCUACCAAGGCGUCGACGGGUAGCCGGCCUGAGAGGGUGUACGGCCACAUUGGGCCUGAGAUACGGCCUAGACUCCUACGGGAGGCAGCAGUGGGGAAUAUUGCACAAUGGGCGCAAGCCUGAUGCAGCGACGCCGCGUGGGGGAUGACGGCCUUCGGGUUGUAAACUCCUUUCGCUAGGGACGAAGCGUUUUUGUGACGGUACCUGGAGAAGAAGCACCGGCUAACUACGUG
Molecule: ribosomal RNA, 468 nt
Filed under: uncultured bacterium
Lineage: Bacteria
Description: partial 16S ribosomal RNA
Rfam family: Bacterial small subunit ribosomal RNA
Source: RNAcentral